CAUUUAGUUGAGCACUCUGAAAGAACUGCCAGUGAUAAGCUGGAGGAAGGUGGGGAUGACGUCAAGUCCUCAUGGCCCUUACGUGUUGGGCUACACACGUGCUACAAUGGCACUCACAAUAGGAAGCAAAGAGGCGACUCUAAGCAAAUCCUAAAAAAGUGCCUCAGUUCGGAUUGUACUCUGCAACUCGAGCACAUGAAGCUGGAAUUGCUAGUAAUCGCGGAUCAGCCCGCCGCGGUGAAUACGUUCCCGGGUCUUGUACACACCGCCCGUCACACCAUGGAAGUUGGUUCUACCUUAAGGCAAAGUAUAAAACCUUUGACCACGGUAUAGUCAGCGACUGGGGUGAA
This 350-nucleotide ribosomal RNA is filed under the name uncultured marine microorganism. RNAcentral's name for it is "bacterial SSU rRNA". It matches the Rfam family "Bacterial small subunit ribosomal RNA", at positions 1122 to 1484 of the family's 1533-position model. The record is from RNAcentral.